CCCCCUUCUCCCCUCCGCCAGCCCCCCCCAGGCUGUGCGUGUGCAUCCCCCCCGCAGCCUGACCCCCCAGCCCUGCCUGACCCCCGGGGGGGUGGCGAGGAGGAGGAGGAGGGGGGUGCGCAGGCACUCGUGCAGGCGCAGCCCUUUCGCAUCAAGAGAUUGGCUAUAAGGAGAAGGCUGACGGCUGCAGCAUGAAGCGCAUUAUUACCUUGUGAUUCCAUGACCCUCCUCUAUGCAUCCCUAACUCUCGAAAGCUGAUUCAGCUUUCAGCUAGUGCUCUGGUGAGUCCUCUGCUGCAACAGAAGCUCCUAACUGAAGAGCCACAAUUUUACUGCACAGGUUUUUCUGCCAAGAGCCAGGCCAGGAACUCUGCAAGCCUAGGCGUGUGCUGGCUUUUCGGGGGCUGAUUGUCUGCGAGCUAGUGUCUCACUCACAGUGACCGGCAGAGGAAAAAUCAUUGGAUUCACUAGGUCGCACUUCAGACACCAAAACUCAGGGCACGGAGGAGGACACUAAAAGGAAGAAGGCAGAAGGUGGCAAUUAAAAUAUCUGGAUUAAAGCAGUAGCCUUUACUCAUGCCACACUGUAAUAGCAAUGCUUUUCUCAAAUGGACUGAGCCAAAUAUCAGGUUUAAAAAUGCUCCAGGCUGGUGGCUGCUCCUGCAGACUGUUCCACUGCUAUUAACCUGCCUCUUUAGUUCAGACCUGCUCUCCAGCCGUUGCUGCUAAGAAGCUUAAAUAAAUCCCAAUUGCCUGAAAGUGAAGCUUUUUGAACUACUUCGACGUCAGGCAGCAAGUUCAGAAGAGGUCCAGGUGGCCAGGAAAGAAAGACCCUGCGGAAUUCCCCUCUUGCUGGCCAUGGCCAGUGAGGCCAAAUGCUUUGCUAAAGCUGGUAAAAUGGAACCAAAUCAACUGUUCAAUGGAUUUGGUCCCCUUCAACCAGCUGUAGCUGUGCAUUGAUCUCUCAGACGCACCUUGGAGGAUAAAACACUUGAACGGGACAGAGACAACUCAGGUAGCAGAAGACAAAUGACCACGUGAACUCUGCUGAUAAGAAAAUUAUGAUGACUGGCAUCUGCAGAUCUAUCACUUGGGCUCUGAACUGGUGGGCUGAGCCCAAGUCAUUAUGUGGUUGCCAGUCAAUUCUGCCUAAGGGAGACCACUCGAGAUUGAUAAUCUCUAUCAUCCUCCAAUAUUGAUCUCAGCUGCUAUUCAGGACUGUGUAUUCCAACUGCAAAAGCUCUGCAUCCUCAUCUGUAUCUGCUCACGCCUGCCCAGGAGCCCCGUGCCUCAGUGUUUCAUCUGCUGCAACGAAGAAUAAAGGUUUUGAUCUGAA
This is a long non-coding RNA of Apus apus (common swift), 1335 nucleotides long. RefSeq lists it as uncharacterized. The record is from RefSeq and is a predicted model, not a curated record. The transcript is spliced from 5 exons. NCBI's taxonomy places the organism in Eukaryota, Metazoa, Chordata, Aves, Apodiformes, Apodidae.